Molecule: long non-coding RNA, 3195 nt
Organism: Alligator mississippiensis (American alligator)
Lineage: Eukaryota; Metazoa; Chordata; Crocodylia; Alligatoridae
Exons: 4
Source: RefSeq, a predicted model, not a curated record
UGAGAAAACAAGCAGUACAGUGACAUCUGUACUGUGUCUAUAUUUUAUAUUUAAUCUAUACAACUGUCAGUUAAAUACUGACAUUUUUAAACCUGCUUCAGCCAUGAAACUGCUAACUGGGAUCUCCUGGGUUUCAUUCUAGCAACAUGUGUGUGGGAGGGAAUGUAGAGAAAUAGGGGUUCAAAGAGAAGGGAAGGAAGCCUUCUCAUUUCCUCCUUUUGCUACCCAGCCAUUUGUCUGGCUCAAUCCAAAGUCUCCUUGUCCCUUCUCAUCUUGAGUAACCUAAAUCAUUUUUAUUAUUGGUAAAUCAUAUGUUGCAUGCUCAGCCUCUUGUGUAGGUCGCCCUCCCAUAGUUUUGACAAUUGUGGUUCUAGUGAGGAUUCAAGUGAUGGACGGCUGGAACUCCACAGGAAGAUAAACAGGUAAACCUGAGGAAAGUCAAGCUGUCAUGCAUUCAAGGUUCUGCUUUCCAUCACACAACUUGCUUUGAUAGCAUACAGCUGCCACGGUGUGAUUGCUUCUGGGUUUAUGCCUCAUCUCUGCUUGUGGGUCUACAGGCUCAGUUUUGCUGAGAGCUGAGGACAAGUGGUCUUCACCCCUUCUCAGACUACAUCCCAAGGAACUCCACCUACCAGCUUUCUCUAGCCCUUGCUAGAUGUGCAUUGCUAGUGUGGAACCGAGGCUUUAAGAGAAGCAACACACAUCAUGACAUGAAACCUGUGACCAAAGUAUGAAAGCUGAUGUCACUGCUAUUAUUUAAGAAAGCAGCUCCCUCUAUAUGUGCAUAGUCAGUUAACAUUAAAAAUUGGUCUUAGCACUCGUGUCAACUUUCUGUGUCACUAAAAUAUCUGUUAUUCAAAUAUCAUAUUCAAUAAGCUGACACAAAAAUGUGCUUUAAAUAGACUGCAGUAUACUAAUUAGCUCCUGCAUUUCAUCAGACCUUUACUGGGAGUUUAACAAGUGAUCACAUUUUAUAACGUUCACUGGUUGCCUUGGACUCAUCUAAAUGGUAAUAAGGGGAGGGGAAAAAAGGAACACGAACUAUUUCACUAAAUUUUCAAGAGUUUUCGGUAGCAAGUGAAUAAUUUCUGUUAAAACUUCUCUGGCAGCUGAUUCAUAUUUUUACCUAUACUGGCCGUGUUUACAUGAGACACUGACUGUACAGUUAUUACUGCAGUCAUUUAAUACUUGCGUACACAAGUACUAAACGACUGCACGGUAACUGUUAUUACUUUGCAGAAGCACCCCCAAAUGGCUUUUUGGUGAUGCUAACUGCACAGUAGCUUGUUACUACUAUGCAGUACUGUCACAUCAUGCUUUGUGCCAUUCAAUGCUAAUGCACAGUAGUAAUGAGCUACUGUGCACUCAGCUUCUUAUGUAGAUGCAGCCACUAUCAACCUCUAUGUAUUAAAAUAAUUACCUUUAAAAGACAUUUAAGUUUACAAAAUUGUUAAGACUGGCUUGAUAUCCUGGACCCAGAUUUUUUUUUUCAUAUAUUCAGUUUUCAGACUUUUUUUUCCCAAAUUCCUUCUCUUUAAGGUAGUAUUCAAAUUUGUUAUUUAAAUCUCCAGAGUUGUGAGCUAAAGAUCUCAUGUGGCCUUACUUUAUUCUCUUUCUGCUUUGCCCUGGGUUACCUUAUUGACUCCAAUAUUGGUUCUUCUGAUUUACAACAGUUCAGAAGAAGAAUCAGAUACAGCAGGCAUAUUUCCGCUUGCAAUUAAUGUGAAGCAAUAAACUUCGGAGCUUAUUGCUCCAGAGUUUAUUCCUCCCAGGUGGACCAUGCACCUAGAAGUAAUAAACUCUGAAGCAAUAAACUUCAGAGUUUAUUGCCAUUUGCAUGUGCACCUGGAAGCACAGCAUGUUGAGCUGGGUCAGAGGAGCCCUGGCUGGCAGAGAGACUGAGGGGUCAGUCUGCCAGCCUGGGGCUGCUCCCUCAAGCUCAGCAUGCUGCAGAGGGGCUGGCUGGGGCACAAGUGUGCUUCAGUGUGGAGCUAGCCAGCAGGCAUCCCCAGCAAUGAAGCACCCUUGUGCCCCAGCCAGCUGGGGCAGCAUCUACACAUGCACUGCUGCGUAGUAAGAAACUCUACAGCAGGAUAGUACUUGUAUUAAUUGGAACAGACUCAAUUAAUUCAGCCUGCUGGAACAUGCUAAUUAGCCUUGGCAUCUCAUGUAUUCAGCAUCCCCACAUUUAAAAAUGAUAGUGGGGGAACUUUAACUAAAGCUCACUGAAUGAGCUUUAGUUAAAUGCCCUCACCACCCUUUUGAAGCGGUGGGACAUUGAAUAUAUGAGACGCUGUGGGUGCUUUAAUUAAAGUGGCUCCCGAGAGCCACUCUAAUUAAAGUGCCCCCACCACACUCCACCCCACCCCAGAGCACAUGUAGAGACACCCAUUCUGUAUAACUAAAAUCCAGCACAACCUGAGCUUCCUCUGUGGUCAGGCACCUCAACAUCUACCCCAAUGUGAAUUAAAGUCAUAAUUGUAUCCAUAAUGCUUGUUUAGCAUUUUGGAGUUUUAAAAAAUAGUAUGAAUACCAGUUUUUAUUAAAUAAUGCAAUAUAGCAAUACAUUAUUUAUGAUGGAUUUUAAAACCAUAAAAUACAUAAUUCUACUUCAUUCUUUCACCCCAAAUGUCUUUCUAGUCUUCCUGGGUGUUUUGUGCGUCCUACCGUAGGAGUGUUUACACUUGUCCUGUGAUUCUCAGAACUUCUUAGUAUAGAAAUUGACUUAGAUGGUAAUAGGUUAAAAAUAUUUUUGGAUUCUUUUGCUCUUCUAGACAGUAUGGAACCAUAUUGAUUAAAAAAAUGACUCAAUAUGUCAGCAAGGAACAGCCAUCUUAAAUCACUGUGAUAAUUUAGUUACUGAAAUGAUUAAUCAGUCUUGUGAAAAUCUGUGCAAUAGCAAGAGCUUUUUAUGAGCUCAUUGUCUGUGGUCUAAGAACAUGUAUUGUAAUUUAUCAUUUCAGCUCUUUAAACAUCUGACCUGACCUUUCUGGUUUUUAUAUGUAAAGUCUUUAUUUGAACAAGGAUGAGCUUAGAUUUAUAUUAAAAAGGUCUGUUUAUUUUAAUUAAAAUAUUGCCUAAUGUGAUGUGUAAAGUUAAUAUGGUGUUUCAAAUAUGUUUUCUGUUGUGGCUGUUUAUGUUAACUAAUUAAUGAAUUAAUGGAUCAAGAAGACUUUGGAACAUGUUUAAUUUACA